UCGUGGAGUGAUUUGUCCGGUUAAUUCCCUAAACGAGCGAGACCUUAGCCUACUAACCUAGAAGGGUUGAUGCUACAUCAGCUGCUUCUUCUUAGAGGGACGGAGCGCGUUGAGCGCUCGGAAGUUUGAGGCCAAAACA
This 139-nucleotide ribosomal RNA is filed under the name uncultured eukaryote. Its description in RNAcentral is "partial 18S ribosomal RNA". It matches the Rfam family "Eukaryotic small subunit ribosomal RNA", at positions 1299 to 1458 of the family's 1831-position model. The record is from RNAcentral.